GGACGAACGCUGGCGGCGUGCUUAACACAUGCAAGUCGAGCGGGUAAGGCCCUUUCGGGGGUACACGAGCGGCGAACGGGUGAGUAACACGUGGGUGACCUGCCCUUAGCUCUGGGAGUAAGCCUGGGAAACUGGGUCUAAUACCGGAUAUGACUCCAUGACGCAUGUUGUGGGGUGGAAAGCCUUGUGCGGCUAGGGAUGGGCCUGCGGCCUAUCAGCCUGUUGGUGGGGUGAUGGCCUACCAAGGCGACGACGGGUAGCCGGCCUGAGAGGGCGACCGGCCACACUGGGACUGA
RNAcentral lists this ribosomal RNA (296 nucleotides) under uncultured bacterium. RNAcentral describes it as "partial 16S ribosomal RNA". It matches the Rfam family "Bacterial small subunit ribosomal RNA", at positions 27 to 322 of the family's 1533-position model. The record is from RNAcentral.